RNAcentral lists this ribosomal RNA (492 nucleotides) under uncultured bacterium. RNAcentral's name for it is "partial 16S ribosomal RNA". It matches the Rfam family "Bacterial small subunit ribosomal RNA", at positions 28 to 507 of the family's 1533-position model. The record is from RNAcentral.
GAUGAACGCUAGCUACAGGCUUAACACAUGCAAGUCGAGGGGAAACGCCAUCGAAAGCUUGCUUUUGAUGGGCGUCGACCGGCGCACGGGUGAGUAACGCGUAUCCAACCUGCCCAUCACUUGGGAAUAACCUUGCGAAAGUAAGACUAAUACCCAAUGACAUCCCACGAAGACAUCUGAAUGGGAUUAAAGAUUUAUCGGUGAUGGAUGGGGAUGCGUCUGAUUAGCUUGUUGGCGGGGUAACGGCCCACCAAGGCAACGAUCAGUAGGGGUUCUGAGAGGAAGGUCCCCCACAUUGGAACUGAGGCACGGUCCAAACUCCUACGGGAGGCAGCAGUGAGGAAUAUUGGUCAAUGGGCGAGAGCCUGAACCAGCCAAGUAGCGUGCAGGAUGACGGCCCUAUGGGUUGUAAACUGCUUUUAUAAGGGAAUAAAGUGGGUCUCGUGAGACUUUUUGCAUGUACCUUAUGAAUAAGGACCGGCUAAUUCCGUG